GCGCUUGGAAUGCGUCCGGGCAGCGCCUAUAUUGGUUCUGUCCGGUUUCGGCCGGACUAUAGCGAUAAACGCGCUUGUAAUAAGCGGACCGGACCCGGGUGCGAUUCCCGGCGGCUCCACCAACUUUCUCCCCGCGUUAUCGGCGGAGGCAGCAUGGGGCCGACUAGCAUCGACGGACGUGUAAAGAGGAUUGCUUUCGCUCGUCCUGGCCCACCGUAUCGGGCCAUUUUCUAACUGCGAACGAUAACUUCGCUGGAGAAGUCGCUCUCGCCGCGUAAUGCGGUUCGGGUGAUUUCGAAUCUUAAGUCCUAGGGGUUCAGAUCCUUGGGCGGGGCCUGUCGGGAGCCUGGCAACAGAAUCCCGGCGCU
This 368-nucleotide transfer-messenger RNA is filed under the name Brevundimonas sp. G8. RNAcentral describes it as "alpha_tmRNA". It matches the Rfam family "Alphaproteobacteria transfer-messenger RNA". From Rfam's summary of the family: Bacterial tmRNA, also known as 10Sa RNA or SsrA, is named for its dual tRNA and mRNA-like properties. Its role is to liberate the mRNA from a stalled ribosome. Lineage: Bacteria; Pseudomonadati; Pseudomonadota; Alphaproteobacteria; Caulobacterales; Caulobacteraceae. The record is from RNAcentral.